This 310-nucleotide long non-coding RNA is filed under the name Malus domestica (apple). RNAcentral's name for it is "long non-coding RNA (MDOM_LNC003116)". The record is from RNAcentral. Lineage: Eukaryota; Viridiplantae; Streptophyta; Magnoliopsida; Rosales; Rosaceae.
UGGGGAUUCAUGCAUCAUGGGGAAUGUUUUCAUGCUUCAUGGUCAUUUCAAAUAUCUUCUUUUAUUUUAAGCGUACCUGAUUGACAUAAAACAAAUAAAAAGCCUUUGAAUUUUGUGGAAGAGAACCUCCUCCUACGAUCCAUCAGUUCCUUAGCUUCUAGUAAGAGUGUGCUGAUAAUGUGUUGUAUGCUUAUUUAACUGAGCUAUUCUAAGGGAAUAGAGAGAGGGAGGCCAGCGGCAAUGAGAGAGAGAGAAAAGAGAUUUAAUUGUGAGGUGUGUUGUAUCACCCCAUUGUGCCUUUAUUUAUAGU